CAUCUGUGUAAAGAGAAAUGAAUUUUGUUGCAGUAACGUUGUGAUAUUCUCGAUUUGAUAAUGAUAAAGUAACCGCAGCGACGAACCGGCUGGGAAUACUAAGAAACGGUUACGGCAUUGAUAUCGAUCAGAACAACACGUAUUACGAUUACUGGGUGUGUAUAUAACGCGAAGGGUUGGUGGGGGUCGGAGGUGGACGGUGAGAAGGACGAGGAUGACGAGGAGAACAAGGUGGACGAGGAGGACGAGGAUUUGUGGACUACAAGAAAUACGCACUUUAUCUUUCCUGCCGAUUCCAGAGUCAAGCGGCUUACGCCCUUCGAUGGUCAGUCGUCUACUAAAGAUGUAUUCUCCAGGUAACGGGUCAGCUAAUAACGCUGCCGUUCUGCGACAGUUGGAUGAAAACAAUUUUAGCUGGUACCUUUCAAAUGUGUGUUAAAAUACACUAGAAGUUUUAAGAUGCUUCCUUCUUU
RNAcentral lists this unclassified non-coding RNA (473 nucleotides) under Neodiprion lecontei (redheaded pine sawfly). RNAcentral's name for it is "uncharacterized LOC124293642, transcript variant X2". Lineage: Eukaryota; Metazoa; Arthropoda; Insecta; Hymenoptera; Diprionidae. The record is from RNAcentral.